This 253-nucleotide ribosomal RNA is filed under the name uncultured bacterium. RNAcentral describes it as "partial 16S ribosomal RNA". It matches the Rfam family "Bacterial small subunit ribosomal RNA", at positions 524 to 776 of the family's 1533-position model. The record is from RNAcentral.
GACGGGGGGUCCUAGCGUUGUUCGGAAUCAUUGGGCGUAAAGCGUGUGCAGGUGGUUUGGUAAGUUGGAUGUGAAAGCCUUGGGCUUAACCCAAGAAGUGCAUUCAAAACUCCCAAACUUGAGUAGGGAAGAGGGUCGUGGAAUUCCAGGUGUAGUGGUGAAAUACGUAGAUAUCUGGAGGAACACCGGUGGCGAAGGCGGCGACCUGGUCCUAUACUGACACUCAUACACGAAAGCGUGGGGAUCAAACAGG